ACACAACUGGUUGGUAGUAGGCGAAAAAGGUUGGAGGAGAAAGAAAUCAAGCACCAGACUUAAUUGCCUUAAUUGUUGAGACCUUGCAUAGAGAGAGAGUGAAAAAGAUUUGAAGGUCAAAAAUGUCAACUGCUUCAUUAUGUUCAUCAACUCUUCAGUCCCAAAUAAGUGGACUUGGUUCGGGUCUAAAGCUUCAAAGACAAAAUCUUUCUCAACCCAGUUCGUUUACCUUCACAAGGAAAACUUUUAGGACCGCAGUGAAGGCUACAGCUAGGGUUGAUAAGUGCUCAAAAAGCGAUAUCAUUGUUUCUCCAUCCAUUCUAUCUGCUAACUUUGCAAAGUUGGGGGAGCAGGUAAAAGCAGUAGAGGUGGCUGGCUGUGAUUGGAUCCAUGUUGAUGUUAUGGAUGGCCGCUUUGUACCAAACAUUACCAUUGGACCUCUUGUGGUUGAUGCCUUGCGCCCCGUGACUCACCUUCCUUUGGAUGUGCAUUUGAUGAUUGUGGAACCAGAGCAGCGGGUGCCUGAUUUUAUCAAAGCUGGGGCUGACAUAGUUAGUGUUCACUGUGAGCAAACUUCUACAAUCCAUUUGCACCGUACAGUUAACCAAAUAAAAAGUCUAGGAGCUAAAGCUGGAGUUGUCCUAAACCCCGGUACCCCUUUAAGUGCUAUAGAGUACGUUCUUGAUGCUGUUGAUCUAGUCUUGAUUAUGUCUGUCAACCCUGGCUUUGGUGGACAGAGCUUUAUUGAGAGUCAAGUAAAGAAAAUUUCUGACUUGAGAAGAAUGUGUGCAGAGAAGGGAGUGAAUCCAUGGAUUGAAGUGGAUGGGGGAGUAGGUCCUUCAAAUGCAUACAAGGUAAUUGAGGCUGGAGCAAAUGCUAUUGUUGCUGGUUCAGCUGUCUUUGGAGCUAAAGAUUAUGCUGAAGCUAUUAGAGGAAUCAAAAAUGCCAAAAGGCCUGAAGCAGUUGCAGCCUGAGCUCUGUGAUAUCUUCUUUUAAUUUGUAAUACCAUAUUUUUGCAUUGCCAUCCAACAGGCAUGAUGAGUUUGACCACCAAAUUGAUCAUAUCAACUUCUUCAAAUUAUGCUGUCAAUUCCUGCAAUAUCUCUUCUGUCAGAGUGAAAUAAAAAUACAAUCGAGCGGUAAGACAGCUGCCUGCGUGCAUACUAUGUAUACUAUAUUUUUAAUAGAGAUCCAAUCAUCCGGAUUUUAAGAUCUUAACUCCGACGAAUUGCUUCCAUACAAAUAAAUAUUUUUUCUGCCAUCUUGUCUGCCUUUUCUUUUUCUACCAUCUUUGAAUGCUUAUCUUUAGAUUUUUAGUUAAAAGAAAGUAGCUGUUUUCUUUUGAAAGAGGGAAAGAGGAGCUAAGGCCUGGAAGCUGCAUGUAUGCUGAAGAAAACUUUGAUAAAUGUAUGGUGUGCUAUGCUUAAAUGAACAUGUUAGUACUA
Humulus lupulus (European hop) is the source of this 1445-nucleotide RNA transcript. It is a transcript of the gene named ribulose-phosphate 3-epimerase, chloroplastic, with no coding region annotated. The transcript is spliced from 10 exons. The record is from RefSeq and is a predicted model, not a curated record. NCBI's taxonomy places the organism in Eukaryota, Viridiplantae, Streptophyta, Magnoliopsida, Rosales, Cannabaceae.